UACUUCCUACGGGACGCAGCAGUGAGGAAUAUUGGUCAAUGGUCGGGAGACUGAACCAGCCAAGCCGCGUGAGGGAGGAAGGUACAGAGUAUCGUAAACCUCUUUUGUCAGGGAACAAAGACUGGGACGCGUCCCCGGAUGAGUGUACCUGAAGAAAAAGCAUCGGCUAACUCCGUGCCAGCAGCCGCGGUAAUACGGAGGAUGCGAGCGUUAUCCGGAUUUAUUGGGUUUAAAGGGUGCGCAGGCGGAGGUGCAAGUCAGCGGUCAAAUUGCGGGGCUCAACCCCGUACUGCCGUUGAAACUGC
This 305-nucleotide ribosomal RNA is filed under the name uncultured bacterium. RNAcentral describes it as "bacterial SSU rRNA". It matches the Rfam family "Bacterial small subunit ribosomal RNA", at positions 333 to 636 of the family's 1533-position model. The record is from RNAcentral.